UCAUUCUGGUUUUCUUUCAUAUCGAUUAAAUCUUUCGCUUUUUACUAAAGAUUUCCGUGGAGGAGACCACUGAAAUGAGUAGAUCACUCAAUUUUUUUUUUGCCCUGCAUUUUUGCGGAG
This is a non-coding RNA of Nematostella vectensis (starlet sea anemone), 120 nucleotides long. Lineage: Eukaryota; Metazoa; Cnidaria; Anthozoa; Actiniaria; Edwardsiidae. The record is from Rfam.